GACGAACGCUGGCGGCGUGCUUAACACAUGCAAGUCGAACGGAAAGGCCCUGCUUUUGUGGGGUGCUCGAGUGGCGAACGGGUGAGUAACACGUGAGUAACCUGCCCUUGACUUUGGGAUAACUUCAGGAAACUGGGGCUAAUACCGGAUAGGAGCUCCUGCUGCAUGGUGGGGGUUGGAAAGUUUCGGCGGUUGUGGAUGGACUCGCGGCUUAUCAGUUUGUUGGUGGGGUAGUGGCUUACCAAGGCUUUGAUGGGUAGCCGGCCUGAGAGGGUGACCGGCCACAUUGGGACUGAGAUACGGCCCAGACUCCUACGGGAGGCAGCAGUGGGGAAUAUUGCACAAUGGGCGGAAGCCUGAUGCAGCAACGCCGCGUGCGGGAUGACGGCCUUCGGGUUGUAAACCGCUUUCGCCUGUGACGAAGCGUGAGUGACGGUAAUGGGUAAAGAAGCACCGGCUAACUACGUG
RNAcentral lists this ribosomal RNA (468 nucleotides) under uncultured bacterium. Its description in RNAcentral is "partial 16S ribosomal RNA". It matches the Rfam family "Bacterial small subunit ribosomal RNA", at positions 28 to 507 of the family's 1533-position model. The record is from RNAcentral.